ACAAAGCUCAAGUCGGUGAUAAAGAAGUGGCCUUCCUUCGCCAAGAACCACCACCACUCAUCCUCCUCGGCCGCUGUCUCCAAUGAGCUCUCAGAGGACAACAAUCUCCAUGUUGUUUAUGUUGGUCAGACUCGAAGACCUUACAUGCUUAGACCGGACAUCAUCUCUCACCCCCUCUUUCAAGAACUGGUGGAUCGGUCUUCUAGAUCUGCAGAACAAGAACGUGAGAUUGUUGUAGCUUGUGAAGUUGUGUUAUUCGAGCACUUGUUGUGGAUGCUUAAGAGUGGUCAAGAAGGAGGAUCCGUUGAAGAAUUGGCAGAGUUCUAUACUUGUUGACAUCGAUUUAUCAAAUUUUACGCAUUUAUUUCGUAUAAUACAUAUGUACUUUCUAUGGUGUUAUUGUUGCUGCUGCUGAUUUGUAUUUUUGACUCGAUCCGGUGUGUGACCAAAACGUGAUCUCGUAAACCAUAUCAUUUGCUUCUGUUUUUUUUUUCCUCGAGCAAUUUUAUGAUAAUGAUGAGCAUAUGUAGCUUCUUACUUUGUUUCCACCAACAAAGAAUUCUCUUCCUUUAACAAUCAUCUUUAUAUUUUCUUCUAAAUGUAAUAGACAGGCCUAGGUAGACAGCUAAAUGAAUCUGAUCAUUUCAUAGAAUUUUAUUUUAUGGUUGGCUUUGUUUCUAUAUUUUAUUGUGGCGGUUUUGUAACUUUUGCUUCAAUUUGUUUUUGUAACGGAAUCUUUCUCAUGAGUCAUGCGUGAGUCUCAUGACACAAUAAAAAAGGACUUCAGUGAUGCUCGAAUUUGCUUGUAACUAAUACAUAUUUUUUUGGAACAAAUAUUGAUUGAAUAUGAUGAUGACAAUACUAAUUAAUUAAAUUAUAUAUUCUUUAUUUAUCAAAAACAAUUAUUAGCAAUGAUUUAUAUCAUUGAUUUAUAAAGUUCAAAACAAUCUUACAGAACAUUUUUUUUUCACUAUGAUUAUUUAAAAUACAAUUUGUGUGCAUUUAACGUUAGUUAGUACAACUCCUUUAUUUAUAAUCCGUCAAAAUUCCACAUAUAAUCAGAGACACGGUCCUGUGUAUCAUAUGUAUGGUGUUCAUUUCAAAUCAUAUUUUCGUAUAAAACAUAAACUAAUUAAUAUGCAAUCUAGUAGUGUUAAUUGGAAAUAAUACUGGUCGCUCUCAUGACGGGUGGUGACCUGGUCCCAAGUUCAUAACCCUACUCUCCUUUCUAGUUGCAGAUAUUAUACAUUUGUCUUUAAUGUUUCUGGACUUGAUUUCAGCCAUAUAAGAGACAGUGGCGGAGGCAACUAGUUAGGAGUAGAGCUCGGCAUGAUUAUUUGGUAUUUGACUUGUACUCGUUAGUUCGUUAGUUGCCUCGUAUUCAUCUUGAAUAUUUAAAUAUUUGGUUUUGUCAAAUCAAAUAACAAGUCAUCAAGUUUUAUUACUUGGAAGUCUAAGAGAGAUGUAUUCAACUGAGAGUUUCAGGUGAUUUGUAUUAAAAUGACAAAUCCACUGCUAUUGAAACAUGAAUUUUAAAAAUUCAUUUAAAAUCCACUGUUAUUGAAUUUGACAUUUUUUAAAGUACUCUGAAAUCCACUGUUAUUGAAAAUAUUUUAAGUCGUGGAGUUUUAAAGUUUUUAGGUGAUUUUAGGGUGUUUGGAUAGAAUUUCUUAGUUAAAAAAAUUAAAACCCAAAUCUCAUAGUUUUAGGUGAUAUUCUAGAGUAGUUUAACAAAAAUCACUUAAAUCUCUGCAACUUAUUGAAAUCAUCUAAAAUCCCAUUAAAAAUCAAAUCACAUCAGAUGUUAAAUUGAAUACAUCCCCCUAAGUCAAGUAUCAAAUAUCGUUUUUAACUUUUAUACUUAAUUUGCUAUUUGUUGCAUUUCUUGUUGCUCAUCACUAAAAGUGAUUUAUUACCCUUUAGAAAACUGUUUAUAACUCAUUAAAAUUACUCUCGUUAAAAUACUUGUUUCAUAUACGUACUUUCAAUUCAAGUAUUUGCAAGUAAUCAAUUAUUAUAAACUAGGGUCGGCCCGGACUACGCCCGGGAUUUUCUCUAAUAUUUAUUUUUAAUUCUGUUUUCUAUUUGUUUCAGUAUUAUAUAUAUACAUAAUUAUAUUAAUAUUAUUAAAACAUAAAUCAUUAGACAAAUUUCCAAAAAUGUAGGUUUAAAUUUUUUGUUUUUGUCCGACAGAUUUGAACUUUUAUCACUCAGAAUUUGUAAUUUUUAAUUAUUGAAAAUUAUGUACCACAUGAUGAAAAUAUAUAAAAUAAUUAAGCGGAGUUUAAUCUGAAUAUUUUUAUCUUACUUAUUUAAGUUUGUGUAAAAUAAAUUUGUAUGUACUUUUGGAAUUUUAUUUUGGCUUUGGAACCAUUAAAAUUAUAACUUUUAAAGGUAUUAAAAUUUUAUCUAUUAAUUUUUUUUUGCUCCUCCUCAUUCUACAUCUAUAUAUAAUUAAUUAAUUUGAAUAAUGUUCAUAAUCGUAUUUGCACAAUACUGUUAUUUUUCAGAAUUGGUUGGUAGUAAAAAUAAUUAUUAACAAAAAAAUAACAAAUUUGUAUUGUGGUUAAAAUUUUAUAUUAUAGUUGUCUUUGGAUGUCACAUGCUGAUACAUGAUAUAUAACUUAACUUUUUCUCAGGUAAUCUACGAAAUAGGCUUGCAUGAUCAUUAUCAUCAAUCUAUUACAAAUGCUUCUUGUUUUUAUGUAUAUAUAUUAACAAUGCUUCUUGGUGAGACAAUACCGAGCUGCUGAAAACAAUAUCUCUCGCCUGAUGAUGGAGCUGGCAAAAAGUUAAAGAGAUCGAAAGUCUCAACGAAGUGUCACCCUUCUUCUUGAAAUAUAUGAUUAAAUUUUCCUUUAAUGCAAUCAAAUGUUGAUUUCUUCCGUCUAAUAUAUCAAAAAGUAUCAACGAAGAGAAUACCUAACAAAUAAAAGGAUACUGAAUUGAUAAGAUAAAUUUAAAACUCCUAGCUUAAUUAGAUCAAUGAUAAGACGUGGAAUCAUAACACAAUAUCUCUUAAUGUCUUGCAAAAAUGAAUUCUUGCAAACACAUACAUUGUCAUAUACUAAAAAAUUCUCUACUUAUAUCUAAAUAAACUUCAGUUUAAGGUUAAAUAUGAGUGAAGAAAGUGAAGCAAAGUCAUACCUUAGUGUUAGCAUGAACAACCUUGAUGUCUAGAUGGAACCGUGAUUUCUCGUCCUUAGGUUCUGAAGCUUAUGAUUCUUGACCCUCUGCGAGCUCGAUGUUCCGUAGAUGAAGGAAUGCAGCCACUAUACGGAAGAGUGCAUCCGGGAAAAUUAGAAUGUAAGUAGAGUUGUUCUUAUGUCUAAGCAUGUAAAUAAACAACUAAAAGGAAAGUACCUGAUCUUCAGAAUCAAAUCCCAACAUCGUCUAUAGCUUUCCUAGCAUCUAUGUAUUCCUUGGAAUCAUUAAGCCAUCCAACACAUACANNNNNNNNNNNNNNNNNNNNNNNNNNNNNNNNNNNNNNNNNNNNNNNNNNNNNNNNNNNNNNNNNNNNNNNNNNNNNNNNNNNNNNNNNNNNNNNNNNNNNNNNNNNNNNNNNNNNNNNNNNNNNNNNNNNNNNNNNNNNNNNNNNNNNNNNNNNNNNNNNNNNNNNNNNNNNNNNNNNNNNNNNNNNNNNNNNNNNNNNNNNNNNNNNNNNNNNNNNNNNNNNNNNNNNNNNNNNNNNNNNNNNNNNNNNNNNNNNNNNNNNNNNNNNNNNNNNNNNNNNNNNNNNNNNNNNNNNNUGAAAUCAACUACUAAAAGACAUAACAUGUUAGAACCUUUUGUUUCUAAACUAUGAACAUAGUCUAACACAUGAUAACCAAAUUAGUAUAUAUUCUUCAAAAUUGUUCGAUUAUAUGAAAUUUUAAUUUAUUUACUUCAUAUUAUCCAUUAUAUUGAUGAUUAGUUAAAAAUAUCACAAUAAUUAUUUUUAUACAUUUUCAAAAUUAAAUUAUUAGAUCAAAUUAGAGUGUAGACUACAAAACAAGUCUAUAAGGUAGACUUCGUAGGAAGUCUAUAUAUAUGUAGACUUCUUUUAUUACUUGUAGACUUCCAAAGGAAAGAAACGUAAAAUACAUUUCUGUUUUUUGUUUGGUCAUAAGGGUUAAAUAGUACUUUCACUACCUCUUUAAGUUAGUUUUGCAUUUGACUAAAAGUGGGGUACACUUUUAGGUUUGACUUAAAUAUUUGGGUUGAUUUUAGCAAAUGUCCCUCAAAAUGAUGUGUUGAAAUAUAUACAAGGAUGUCUAUACAACAAUUUCGUGUAUAUAUAGUUGGUUUAAGGCUUCAUUUUUAAAACAAAAACAUUUUUUGGACCUAAAUUUGAAAUUUGAUUUUGAAUACAAAAGUGUACCCUAUUAUACUACUAUCUAUGUUUCCUAACAACAUAAUAAUUAAUCUUGUAUCAAAACACCAUUUAUUAUAAAUUAAUUAUGCAAACAAUAUCACACUACUAUCUAUUUCCUGAAAACAUAAUAAUUAAUCUUGUAUCCAAACAAUAUUUAUUAUAAAUUAAUUAUGCAAAUAAUAUAAUACUACUAUCUAUGUUUCCUAACAACAUAAUAAUUAAUCUUGUAUCCAAACAAUAUAAAAAUAUUAGGUAUCAUCUUUUCAAUAACCUUUUAUCGAUUUUCUUUCAAAUUAUUUGAUAAAUCAAAGAUAAUUAUAACAUAUUUUUGUAGGAUUAGAUACUACAAGAUAAGAUUUAAUUUCAAAUCAAUUAAAUUAAAACUUAUUUUAUUUAAUUUUUGUUAAAUUACAGUUAUUUAAAUCUAAAUAUAUUUUCGUAUUAAAUUAAAUACUGUAUAUAAAUAAAAUGCAAUAAAUUGACUUCAAAUAAAUUUUAUAAUAAACAUUUAUCAAAAUAUUUUAUUCAGUUAAUCAAAUAAAUUAAAUAUAUUUUAAUAAAAUUAAUAACGAAAAGAGUUGAAAUAACUAAAAAACAAAUUAAACAAUAUCUUAUACAGUUUCAUACUUAACAAAAUAGUAUAAUUAUUUAUAUAAUUAUUCAAAUACACUAAAAUAAAAAUGUCAAAAAAAUUAUUUUGUAAAUUGUAUUUUGUUAAAAGAUAUUCUCGGGAUUUAAAAGUCAAUUAAAAAUUUUUAUAUGAUUGGAAAAAAAUAUAUAAUUUGUGUAUGCGGAUCCGACAAAACCGAAACAAAAACUCAAAAAGGAUUAUACAAACAUUUAUUUUUUGUUCCUGUUGACAAAAAACUGAUAGAUGAUGAGCUUCAAUACAGAAGUGGAUCAUUAACAAAAUCCGUUGGACUAGAUCUUUACUUAUAUUCGUAUAUAUGUUUGGGAGAAUUUCAUGUUUACUAUUUUCAUGGUAGUUUAUUCACUUUUACCACCACUGAAAGGACAUUUUAAAAAAUACAUUCUUCAUUAAGUGGCAAAAGGCUCUUAUACCCGUUGUUCUCUAUAUAUAAUAAAUAAAAAUAUAAUAAUUUUUUUAUAUUUUUUGAAUUAUACUUUUUCAAUUUCAAAUUCUUUAUAAUUUUCUUUCAAAAUAUGUUUUUUUUCAAAAUAUAUUUUUGAAAAUCGAAAAUAAUGUUUGAAACUAUUUUUAAAUUCUUUUCUAUAUUUUUUCAGUAUUUAUUUAUAGAUUUAUUAGAAUAUUAAAUUUCACAUUACAAGAAUCUUACCCAAUCCCUCAGGGGGAAAUUACAUGUUUACCACUUUCAUGGUAUCACUUUUCAUUUUUACCUCCAAUAAGACAUUUUCAAAAAUACUUUCUUCAUUAAGUGGCAAAAGACUCUUAUGCUCUUGUUAUUUAUAUAUAUAAUAAAUCUUUAUUUAAAUAAAAAAUAAAAAAAAUAAAAAAAAGUAAAAAAAUAAAAAAAUGUAAAAAAUUAAAAAUUAAAAAAAAAAACUAAAAAAAUAAUUAAAAAGAAAUAAAAAAAAGUAAAUUUUUUAUUAUGUUUUCGAAUUAUACUUUUACAAAUUCGAACUUUUUUAUAAAAAAAUUUUUGAAAAUUUUUUGAAUUAUUAUUUUUUUUUCAAAUUUCUUUUUGAAAAGCGAAAAUUAUGUUUGAAACUAUUUUUUUUAAUUUUUAUAUAUUUUUUAUGUAUUUAUAUAUUUAUUAGAAUCAUAAAUUUUACAUUCCAAAAACCCUACCCCACCCCUCAACUCUAAACCCUAAGUCUAGAUUAGUUAAUCCUAAUGGUAUAAUUGUCUUUUACACUUCAUUAAAAGUGAACGUAAAAUUGGUUAGUGUAAACAUGAAAAGUAGUACUAUGAAUGUAGUAUUUGUGGCAUUUUCCCAACUACUUUAGUCAUGAUAUCUUUUAGUUUUAAAUAUAAUUUAAAAAAAAAAAUCAAACAAAUCUGUUUAAAAGAUUUUAACAAGAUCUUAAUUUUCAAAAAUUCUAUGUAAAUAUUUUUUAUAAUUCGUAAUUAGUUUUAAAAUAUUAUUAUACAUUAAUAUAUUUUAUAAAAUGAAGAAUAAAAGUUUUAUCUUAUUUUACCUAUUAUAUAAAAUAAUCAAUCAUAUUAAGAGAAAAUUAUUAUAUUGAACUAAACAUGAUAAACUAUAUUAAAUUAUUAGAUUUGUAUAUUUUAUUUUCAGAAGUAUUUAUGUUCAGAAUAUAAUAUGUUGGUAAUCUUAUGUAUUAAAACAGAAGUCACAACUUUAAUUCAUGUGUGAUAUUUUAAAAAAUGGACUCUCACUAGAAAUCAGUUAUCAUUCAUUUCUUUCUAAUAAUAUGGCUUAAUAAUAUAUCAUUCCUAAUAUAACAAUCGACUCCUAUAAAACCGGAUUGGUUAACAAACACAUAUUUGAUUCCUUAAUAAAUUAUACAUAGUAGUAAUAUAAACCAUUGUAUAGUUCAAAAUACUGAACCGAUUUAAAUAAUUUAACCAAUAUAUAUAUAUAUAUAUAUAUAAUGAGUUGUAUUAAAAUAGAAAUUAUGACUUCUUUCAUGUGUGAUUUUUUAAUUAGAACCAUUUAAAAAAUAUUAAAUGUAUUUUAUUAAUAUUAAUAAUAUAUAUAAUCUUUGAACUACUUUAGUCAUAAUAUCUUUUGAUGUCUUUUAAUUUUAAAUAUAAUUUUUUUUUGUUAACAAAUAUAUAUAAUGUAUUUUGUCAAAUUUCAUGCACACUUGCUAUUGGCUAUUACUGUCACUUUUAUGCACUAAUUGUCUCAUCACUUAAACUGUAGAAUGGUUAUAUUCUUCAUAUUUAGACCCCUUAUGAAUAUUCAGUAAAAAAAUUUUUUUGGUAAAAUGUUAAGAUAAAUAUUCAGUAAAUUGCCCUUAUGAAUAUUCAGUAAAUUGCCCCUUAGACAAAGACGUGCUUUAAUAAAAAACACCCUUGAUCAAAUUAUUAGGCCUAGCUUGAUGUCUACAUAACAUAAGUAUAUGACAUUGGACAGUUAUCUAAUUUCUAAUCAUACGCCAGAACUAUCUUACUAUUUGAUUUAUUUUGCCAUAAAUAAGUAUAUCUUCUCGACCAUUUUUUCAAGUAUUUAAAAUUCCUCGAAUGAUUAGCUUACCAUCCACAACUUUUUUCCUUCGAUAAAGACAGACAGUAAGGUACUAAGGUCUUCUCUACCUAAUUCUUCAGAAAUACCAAACUAACGAAUUUUUAAAUAAUUUAACACACAUUUGAUAAAUACCAUAUAUUUUAAUAUAUAAUGAAAUAUGCUUUUGCACUAAAUAAGAGGAUUGUAUUUUGCCAAAAAAUCAAAUGUCAUUGGUGGUUGCAUCCGUCAUAUAUUGCUUAACUACAAUCUUUUAUUUUAUUCGUAUGAUUUUAUAAUUUGGGAUUCGUCACUGGAUUUAUGGUUUCGAAAAUGUGGAUAUAACAUAUGUUUAGUUCAUACAGAUAAAUAAAUAAAUUUAGUCGGUGGACGAAGAUUAUAUUUGCUGUUUUGGUAUAUAUGAACGACAAACAAUUAGCACUAUGGGGUAAUAUUCAACAAAAUUGUGGACAGGAUGUAAUCGUUAUCUAAAAAUUAUCACUCUUUGUCGAUCAUUAGACAACAACACGCAAUGAGAGGUUGCCUACACAUCUACACAUGUAUAUGUACACACCUACAAACUUAUUAUAUUUAUACAGUAAUAUACAACAAAUAGUAGUAAACAUGUACUAUAUGUUUAUCAAAUAUUUUCAAAUUCCGAUUUAUGACAAGUGGCAUCUAUGUAGACAAAACAAAAUGUCAUAGCUAGAAUAAUACUAUACAUAUAAUGCAAUAGUUUGUUGGGAGUUUUUUUUCCGGUUAAUAUAGAUUAAAUAUAAUAUAUUCUUCUUAAAUUAUAUUAAAUAUAUAUAUACAUAGUUAGUGUUUUAUUCGUGUGGGUAAUAUAUAUUUUUGAGUUUUAUAGAAAUUAAACUUAUAUACUAAUCCAAUAUAUAUUAUGUUAAAUAAGUAUUAUUAUCUCGUAUGGUAUAUUAUAUUAUAUCAUUCAUGUUAUCAAUCUUACUUAAUACAAUCUAUUUUAAACUAAAAGAUGUAAUAUUUUGCAUAACAAUAAAUUAAUUACUGUGCAAAAAAUAUAGUUUUACAAAAUUUAUUUAUGUAAAUUCUUAAAUCCGAUUAUAAAGAUAUAAAAGGAACAAAGGAAAAACAAUGGCAAAAGAAGAUACUACUAGUUUUGCUAUUUAUGUCCUCAUCUCUCCUAGCUGUUAUGCAUCAAUCGGUGGGUCAUGCAAUGCAUCUAUACGUUUCUCUAUCUCACUCAAUAUAUAUACACGAACCUUCCUCGUUGUUUCCUCCCAAGAACAUCUCAAAACAUUUUCUAUUCUUCAUUCAAUCUUUUGACCCACACACACUCAUAUAAUCAUAUAUAUAUCCUCAUAAACCCUAAACCCUAUCUAGUUUCAACAACUCUCUUGUUCCAAAUCCAAGAAAAAGGUUAGUUUCAUAAGUAAUGUCCAAAGUUGGGAAGCUGACAAAGCUCAAGUCGGCGAUAAAGAAAUGGCCUUCCUUCGCCAAGAACCACCACCACUCAUCUUCCUCGGCCGCUGUCUCCAAUGAGCUCUCAGAGGACAACAAUCAUCAUGUUGUUUAUGUUGGUCCGACUCGAAGACCUUACAUGCUUAGACCCGACAUCAUCUCUCACCCACUCUUCCAAGAACUCGUGGAUCGGUCGAGGUCCAUGGAACAAGAUCGUGAGAUUGUUGUAUCUUGUGAAGUUGUUUUGUUCGAGCACUUGUUGUGGAUGCUCAAGACCGGUC
Molecule: long non-coding RNA, 9185 nt
Filed under: Brassica napus (rape)
Lineage: Eukaryota; Viridiplantae; Streptophyta; Magnoliopsida; Brassicales; Brassicaceae
Description: long non-coding RNA (BNAP_LNC002560)
Source: RNAcentral